UUGAUUACGUCCCUGCCCUUUGUACACACCGCCCGUCGCUGCCCGGGACUGAGCCAUUUCGAGAAACUUGGGGACUGCUGAUCCGGUGGCUUCGGCCUCCGCUUCGGUGGAAACCAAUUUAAUCGCAGUGGCUUGAACCGGGCAAAAGUCGUAACAAGGUAGCUGUAGGUGAACCUGCUGCUGGAUCAUUACACGUACCGUGACGGU
RNAcentral lists this ribosomal RNA (207 nucleotides) under Nacobbus aberrans. RNAcentral's name for it is "18S ribosomal RNA". It matches the Rfam family "Eukaryotic small subunit ribosomal RNA", at positions 1641 to 1831 of the family's 1831-position model. The record is from RNAcentral. Lineage: Eukaryota; Metazoa; Nematoda; Chromadorea; Rhabditida; Pratylenchidae.